AAACCUUACGCUGCUGAUCCUAAUUUUGUACUUUCUGCUUGAUUUGACUCUUUAUUUUUCUCUUUCAUGUAGGCAACUCCAGCAGCCAAAAUCUGGGUUUCUUUUUUAACUUUUGUUUGCAGAGAUAUGGCUAAGCCUGUUGAAAAGACUAGAGCUUUGAGAAAAGGGGCAUGGAGUCCUGAAGAAGACCGGAAAUUGACUGCUUAUAUUAAGAGAUAUGGGAUUUGGAACUGGGCAGAGAUGGCUAAACCAGCAGGAUUGCAAAGGUCAGGGAAGAGUUGCAGGCUUCGUUGGGUGAAUUACUUAAGACCUGGAAUUAAGCAUGGGAAUUUCACAAAGGAAGAAGAGCAAACAAUAAUUGAUUUACAUGAAAAGCUUGGGAACAGAUGGUCAGCGAUCGCAUCAAGGUUGCCCGGAAGAACUGAUAAUGAGAUUAAAAACCAUUGGCAUGCUCACUUGAGAAAACGUUUUAAGUACGACCUGAAUGCAUUGCCAGAGAGCGAACCUUCAGAGCCAUCCAGUGAUGAAACAAACCAAAAUAGUUCAUCCAGAUCGAAUCCUACUGACAAUAUUCCAAGACCAUCAAUUCUGGAAAGCUAUAGUGCGAUUUCUACCGACAGUUUACCUUCAUCGAGCUCGAAUCCUCUGGUUGAAAUUGAAGAAAAGCCAAACAUUAAGGGAUCCAUUGGUUCAUUGGACAACUUCAAAGCAUAAUAAUAGGCCAUUGGUUCAUUGUUUUCAGUAGCCAGGUAUGGUUCCAUUCCAGCAUAUAUGAGGGCACUGUUGCAAUGGCAGCAGCCAUGGUGCUUGUGGUACUCCCGGUUUCCGAUUUGGUGCAGUAGCGGUCCAAAACACUUACAGGGGUUCUCGUACUCGAGCUCGACACCGUAUGGACAAUCCAUUCGCACUCUAGCAUCGCAUUAAAGCAUUUUAACACAUUCUCCUGCAAAAUUACAGCACAUUCAUCCACUAUGUCGAGUAAGUAAAAAGCUAUGCUUUAAGUAAGGUAUUGAGUUAGAAAUCGCCUACUUUAUUCAAAUAUUCACAGGACAAAACCGAUGUUUCAAACGAUGGAAACUGCAAUGGGAAUAGCUCGUGAGUUGCCACAAGAAGAGCUGAUGCUGCAAUGGUUGAUGGUUUGAACUCCAACAUUUUGAUUUCUGUACCCGAAAAACAGAGUUUUCAACAUCGGUUUAUGCAGAUUUAUCGUAAAAUUACAU
This is an RNA transcript of Hibiscus syriacus, 1220 nucleotides long. It is a transcript of the gene named transcription factor MYB14-like, with no coding region annotated. Lineage: Eukaryota; Viridiplantae; Streptophyta; Magnoliopsida; Malvales; Malvaceae. The record is from RefSeq and is a predicted model, not a curated record. The transcript is spliced from 4 exons.